AACGAACGCUGGCGGCAGGCUUAACACAUGCAAGUCGAGCGCGUGUAGCAAUACACGAGCGGCGCACGGGUGAGUAACGCGUGGAUAUCUGCCUUUUGGUUCGGAAUAACCCCGGGAAACUGGGGCUAAUACCGGAUGGUUCCUACGGGAUAAAGAUUUAUCGCCAAAAGAUGAGUCCGCGUCCGAUUAGCUAGUUGGUGAGGUAACGGCUCACCAAGGCGACGAUCGGUAGCUGGUCUGAGAGGACGAUCAGCCACACUGGGACUGAGACACGGCCCAGACUCCUACGGGAGGCAGCAGUGGGGAAUAUUGGACAAUGGGGGCAACCCUGAUCCAGCCAUGCCGCGUGAGUGAUGAAGGCCUUCGGGUUGUAAGGCUCUUUUGGCGGGGACGAUGAUGACAGUACCCGCAGAAUAAGCCCCGGCUAACUUCGUGCCAGCAGCCGCCGUAA
RNAcentral lists this ribosomal RNA (451 nucleotides) under uncultured bacterium. RNAcentral describes it as "partial 16S ribosomal RNA". It matches the Rfam family "Bacterial small subunit ribosomal RNA", at positions 29 to 523 of the family's 1533-position model. The record is from RNAcentral.